This 253-nucleotide ribosomal RNA is filed under the name uncultured bacterium. RNAcentral's name for it is "partial 16S ribosomal RNA". It matches the Rfam family "Bacterial small subunit ribosomal RNA", at positions 524 to 776 of the family's 1533-position model. The record is from RNAcentral.
UACGUAGGAUGCAAGCGUUGUCCGGAAUUAUUGGGCGUAAAGAGCUCGUAGGCGGUCUGUCGCGUCGGCUGUGAAAUCCCGGAGCUCAACCCCGGGCCUGCAGUGGAUACGGGCUGGCUAGAGGCAGGCAGGGGAGAACGGAAUUCCUGGUGUAGCGGUGAAAUGCGCAGAUAUCAGGAGGAACACCGGUGGCGAAGGCGGUUCUCUGGGCCUGUACUGACGCUGAGGAGCGAAAGCGUGGGGAGCGAACAGG